GACGAACGCUGGCGGCGUGCUUAACACAUGCAAGUCGAACGGAAAGGCCUCUUUCGGGCGGUACUCGAGUGGCGGACGGGUGAGUAACACGUGAGUAACCUGCCCUUGACUUUGGGUUAGCUUACGGAAACUGGGGCGAAUACCGAAUAGAAGCUCCUGCUGACUGGUGGGGGUUGGAGAGUUUCGGCGUCUGGGGGUGACUUCGCGGCGUAUCCGCUUGUCGUUGGGGAGGUGGCUUGCCAAGGCUUUGCCGUGUAGCCGGCCUGUGGGGGUGACCGGCGACACUGGGACCUAGAUGCGGCCCAGACUCCGACGGGAGGCAGCUGUGGGGAAUAUUGCACAAUGGGUGGAACCCGGAUGCUGCAGGGCCGUGGGUGGGAAGACGGUCUUCGUGUUGAAAAACGCUUUCGCUCAUGACGAAGCUUUGUGUGACGGUAGUGGGUAAAGAAGCACCGGCUAACUACGUG
Molecule: ribosomal RNA, 467 nt
Filed under: uncultured bacterium
Lineage: Bacteria
Description: partial 16S ribosomal RNA
Rfam family: Bacterial small subunit ribosomal RNA
Source: RNAcentral